CCUCUCCUCCCCCCAUUUACUAAAAGUUGUAGCCAUUUGUUCAAUUACACUCACUGUUUAUUCUUUAAAAAAUGUUCAAGGGACCAAAUAACUGCACUUAACCCAUGAUAUUGUCAAAAACACAGAAAGGAGACAUUUCCUGGGAAGCAAAUCCUCAGAGUAUGUUCACCUUACACAGAAGGUGUACUUCAAAGGUAGGCAUUUCAGCUAGCAUUAUAAUUUGUCAAAUCAUACUAUAAAGACUCAUUAGAUAUCGUAACAAAACAAUUAAGUUUGAUCCCCUUGGUUGUGCCAGCUUUGUUCUUGGUGCCUCACUUCCCCCUCUCUCAUUUUGAUCACUACAUUCCAAGGGAUGAUGGGCCAUACAAGUACUGUAACCAUGCUUGGUACAAAAGUAUUCACACAUCUUUGCUUUGACAAGUUUCCUAUUUUCUAUUUCUUAAGAUGACUUCAGUUUUGCAAGAUCUUGUGAGAUGCUUGACAUGGUGAAAGCAAUAUUGAGAAGAGCAUAAUACACUCAGUUAACAUAGCUUGGUUGUACUUGGUAUAAUUACCUCCCCCCACAGCAUAACACCCAUCAAUGUGGCAUUAACCAUGCUGAACAUGUGUGCUACCAAACAAUUGUAAUGCUGCACAGUACACUGAAAACACAUUAGGUUCUGUAGGUUUUCCUACACAUUAUAAUCCUGCUAUUUUUAAAAGUUUAAAAAACUCCUCAUAUUUCUAAAGCUCUCACCUGCUUAAGACAAGCUUUAGAGAAAUCCAUUGAAAAUUGCAGUUAAUCAUUGUCUGUCUAUAAAGUCAUCUAAGUUUCCAGUCAAGUAGGUUAAUAAAUAGGUUCAGGCCAUGUUUAGACUAUAAAAGUUCAGUUGAUGCAUCUGUAGUAUGUUGCUUCUGUAUACAUUGAUGGGUGCUUGCAUUGGCAUUGCAUCAACCUAGCUGUGUAUGUGUCUGUAACAAAUUUUGUCUUGGGUCAAUGUAAGCUCCCUGUUACUGUGACUAUGCCUCUAAGUCACAUGGGGGAUGCUAGUAAAGAUACCCAACAGAUAGCAGCAACAGGUGAAGGCAAAGGAUCAAGUUAAGACAAAGGAAGGCAACGUAAAAUCUGACAUGGCCCCACAAACCUGGCUGGGGCUUUGACUGCAUGUUCUACUUGGUGGGAACCGCAUGUACAAUUAUGGGCACCUUGCAGCAGUAAAAAAACCGAGCCCCCUGCCAUGAAUCACAAGGACAAGGCAAUAUGGCAGGAGACUCAACACAAGCCAUGAGCCAGCAGCUUUUUGAAACUAUUCUUGUCUAGUCAGCCAAACAGACAAACCUUCUGUUGAAGGGGAAGGAAGGUUGGGUAAGUUUGCACAGGAAAUCGGCCUUUCCAUGGUGAAACAGUCUGUGGGGAGAAAGCCAGACAUGCUCUAUUCAAUUACACCUCAGCAUGAGGCCCGGCUUGACUGGGAUAAUCAGCUUAGCUGCAAGCAUAUACAUAUUGCCAGCCCAGAGAGGGGCAGUAUGUCCUGUACAAACAUUGGGAAAUAGCAGGGGGCCUCAGAUAAGGAUACUUCCUUAGGCUAGGAAAAUGCAGGGAAGAAAGUUUAAUGUCUGAUUUUUAUUGCAUGGUUGGUUCAUUAACAUUAACUUGAUGCCUGACAAAUGUGAUGUUUGCUUGUGCUUUUCUGGGACCCAGAGCCACUGGAAUUUGCAAGACUCAUGCCUGAGAAUAAGAAUCCCAAUUCACAGUAGAAAGAAGGGUCACCAUAUAAUUGAUCCCAACCCUGUUCCAUUCAUGACCGUCUACAAUAGUUACAGAACAAGCACAUGAAUCCUUACUUUCCACAACUACUUUCACCCUUGAGGGUGAGGGCUCAGAAGUGAACUAUACCUUGCAUUGGGACCCUUUAACCUUAUUCAUCUUUAAAAUGUAGUAUUUGUAACAAGGUCCUUUGAUCUUUAUUUAAAGCCUUUUUUACUCUUAACAAAAGAGCAAUACUGAAAUAUAUUUUUAAAUUGCAGCAUAUAUAUGCCAUUCUGUUUAGACCAUGCUUUCCACCUCCUGCAUACAGUAUUUAGUGCAGCUUUGUUUCAAAUAGUUCACAACUGUAAGGCAGGAUGAUGAGCCCAAGGGUAUAGAAUUUACUGAAGAUAGAUUUUUCACAUCAAUUUAAGCUACUUAUGUUUAGAGUAGUGUCGUGCUUUUCAGAAAUGUCAGUGUCCCAUUAUUUGGAUCUUGGCAGAUUGAAAGGUAUGUUUAGAAUUAGAGUAUCUUUUUUAAAAAGCAAGAUAGGCCAAAGAGGCUUUUAAAAGGGUGAAAAAAGUACUUUUCCAAAUGGACAUUAUAUGCACAGCAAAGUGAAAAGUUCCCAUUUGGCAGAUACUCUUGAAGAAACACACUUGUUGAUUACAUGUAGGGUCUAGUCUCAAGUCAAUCAAUGUAGACAACUAGAUCUUCACAUGUGUGCAAUCCCAGGCAGUAGAUUGCUUGCUCACUAGAUUCCAUCUAGCAGGAUUUCCUCUCUAUAGCUGCUAUAAGAAACAUUUAAAGUAUACUUGAACCUUUCCUAUCAAAACUAAAGUGAGCUAGGAGGAGGAAUACCAAUUAUACAAAAAUAGUAUAGAAACUACUCAAUCACUAUGUAGACAAUCGGUUAGCUAGUACCACUAAAGAUCCUUUGCCAAGACUGCAUAGUUUGAGAUUCAUGCUAUUACAAGAAACCAUGUUGCACAGUGACGACCUAGUUCCAUUUCACUUGCCUAUCUUUUCCACUCAAGACUGUCCUAUCAGAGAUAGCAGAUCCAUAUGGAGCUAGUCUUCUUGCACCUCAGACCUAUGCUUCACUCACAUAAUAGUUAAAAAGGACUUUAGACACCAAGAGAAUACUCAUUGACAACUGAGAAUGUAAUGCAUACCAAUUACCUUGAUCAUUGGGGUUCCAGCAGAAAGAUUGCUGAGCUAUGUUUUUGGAUUUAUGAAAUACCACUUUAAAGGGUGAAGUCUUCAGACCCAAAGAACUAUGGUUAUGAAAUCCUAGCUGAGGAAGGCCUCUUCACCUGUUGAGGUGCAAGGUCCAUCAGUGUGACUUUAAAAGGAUAAGGGGAGUAAAUAAAGAGUUUGAAUGGGCAAGAGCCACUAAGAUUAGGGUUUGUCUACACCAGCAAGUUACAGUGCUGUAACUUGUCUCACUCAGGGGUCUUAAUAAAAUAAAAUAAAAAAUACACCUCCCAAGUGCAGCAAGCUAGUGUGCUAAAGUGCCAGUAGAAACAAGAUCCCAGAGCUGAAAGCUAUGUUGCUCCUAGAGGUAGUUUAUCUAGAGUGCUGAAUUAGUUCUCCCCCAGAGCUAGUGUAGUGAUAACACGGCUGCAUUAAAACUUGGAAGGGUACACAAAGUCUUAUAUCAGUGUGGGGAAGCUUUUUGGGUCAUGGGCCUCUGACACAGAAAAAAAAAUCAGUCAGGGGCUGCACAGAAGUGAGAACAAAAACAAAACCCCCUCACUGAUGUGCUCAUCUGAGGAGAAGACACUCCCUACCUUCCCCUUGUACACCUGAGCCAAAGAGGGCCCAGACUCAGAUUUUGUGGUCUAACCCCAUGGUAAGGGGGAGGGGGAGAGGGGGAAGAAGACUGGAGUGCCAGUGCAAACUCUCGAAUUCUGGGGGUGGUCCUGAGCCUUGGGAGCUGAAUCUGGGUAAGCUGGGGGAAGGGGCAAAUGCGGCGCCCGGGCCUGAGGUUCCCCACCCCUGCCUUAGAUACACUGAGUAUAAAUCCUUAAUACAUUCCAUUCUGCACAGCAUUCCACACAUUCACUUUAGUAAACCAAAUGAGAUCUGAGUACGGAUACCUUUAAAGAGACCAGUAUUAAAUGAUUUCCCUGAAAAUACCAUGCUUUGCUCAACUGGUUCUGUUCAAGAACCAUGCUGCAAAUCUCAGUCUUUUCAGACCUGUCUCAGUGGGUGAAGAACUUCUUGACAUGGAAGGCAAGUCAUAAUAAGGUGAGUGACCUCAGAACCAGAGCUUCUUAGGUCAUAGUAGUCCUACGACCUAAUCUGAUCUUCAUUGACUACAGUGAUUCCAUCUAUGCCUGGUCUUCUGUACGAAGAAAACAAAUCACAUAGCAGUCAGUUUUCAGCUACCGCUUUAAAACUUCAUGCCCAAAAGAAGGGACAUCUAGCAAAAGUGACUUCAGUGAAGGUCUUCAGGAUGCCAGCAUUGCUUCAUUGCUUCUACAGUGAGGCCAUCACCUCCAUUUUAAUCUACUUGAUCCAUUAUAAUUUUUCAGUAGGCAUGACUGUUGUGGCCUCCUUGCAAUCCCAUUGUAGUACUGAUUUUCGUCCUGGCAUCAACAUUUGGUCUUCUAAUAAAAGAUAUAGAAUCAACAACUAUUGUUGCAGUGGAAACAAGGAAACAAAAACAGGUCUUAAGUGAAGGUCACAUGUAGCUGGGGUAAGAUAGCACCCCACUUCCUCUAGCAAUAAGCUGGGCUCGACAAAUACAAUCUAUUCGCCACGGGCGAGUAGAUUGUAACCUGAAAGAGCCAGGUUCAGGUGAUCUGCGCAUGCGCAGAAGGACCUGCACAUGCACAGAUCGCCGGCCAGUGCAGCUGGUGAGUGGGGUUCGCCGCAGUUCGGCGAGCCCUGGCCAUAAGGAUCACAAGCUUGACUCCUAUUAGCACAUCCAGAACAAUGAUAGGCCAGAUGAAAAGUGCCAUGUAAUAACCUGUAAUGGACACUGAACAAUAGAAGAGACCAUGCAUAGCCAGAGGAAAGCAGCAUCCCUUUUCUGAAAUCAUAACCAUUCCAUACACCAGCUCUGUAAGCAAAGCAUUGCAGAGGGAAAAGAAGGACAAUGGUUGAUGAAUAUUUAGGAGUGCAUUUUUUUUUAACUCCGUGUCCCUGCUACUGAGAAGUUAGCUUUUUUUUUUUAAACUAGCAUUCACUUUUUUUGGUGCAAAGUAUCUCCUCCCCUACCCCCAACUUGAGAUAGUAAAGUGGUGCUGUCACAUGCAGCUGGUUCUCUUUUAAUGCUCUCAGCCCAGAGUCAAGCAUUCUGUACUGCCGUGUUCUUUACGAGCCCCCCAAUCCAUCCCAUAGUUUUUGUUCUCCUGCUCAAAAAGAAUUUAGUAAGUGCCUUUAAAGGAGAGGGAAAUGGACUCAUCUUAGACAUGGAGUAAACCAUCUCCUUGAUUGCUGCUACAAGCUUUUUAGAGAAAUGUGAAAGCUCCAUAUGCAAACUGGGAAAAAUAAAAUGGACAGGAAGAGAAAGUCAUGAUGGGGGGAGGGGAGGCAGGGGGAAGAGGGCCCCAAAAGGCUGUAAGAGGUUUUCAACAGAAAAUGAACGGUGAAAAGAAUGAGGACCUCCUGAGCCAUCCAUGUAGAGGAAAGUAGAUGGACAGGUCUCCUCCUGGUGGCCAGGCUCAUCCAACAGAAAUUUUAGUUUUAGUCCAAACAGUGGUCUUGAACACAGAGAAUCAGCAAACAUGCAUCAUUCACAACCAGAAUCCUUUAGCUCCAACAACUAGUUUCUGCAUCUACAAUAGUACUAGUGAGUUUAAUACGGACAUUUUGCUCAGUUUAAUGCCAUACAAAGUUAAAUGUGAAUCAUUCUAGCAGCUUGCCAAAGGCUCCAUCCAGUUUCUACAGAAUUUACUUUUUUAAAGACUUAAUCCUUUAGGACAGCUUCCAAAUAUAAGCCCAUGAAGUGCCUUGUGGGGUCUGUAGUGAGCCUGAAGCAAUAGCCUGAAGAAAUGGUAACAUCUGCAAUUCAUCUCAAUAGGUUAUUGUCUCUAAAAACCUGAUGGCAAAAGUGAGAGAGUUUAGUUUCUCUGAAUGGGCUGCCUGUAACAUGCUUAUCCAGUAUAAUUGAUUUGAAGAAUGACGCCAAUUCAUAUUAAAACCCCGCUUAAGGGCUGUUCCCUACAGCAUACUCUGCAUUGCUUUGGGAUGGCUAGAAUUAUCUGUUUUCAUUACCUCUCUUGGGAGACUGUUCCACAAUUUAGAUCUUAAUAGCAGGGUGAGGACACAGUAAAGCUGAUACAGAAGCAAAGAGGUUCCACGUGUAGCAAGUAUUACAACUUUCUGCCCCAUUUAAGACACUUAAUUUCAGUUUGAACAAGACUUGCUGCCUUUAAAUUUUUGUUCAGAUCCCAUUAUUCAUCCUAUUUACAAUGACCAUUAAGCACUAUUUUGUAAACAAGGUUUAUAUUAAACCAUUUUUCUUGCUAAAAUGCUAAUUCAGUACAAACAGAGUGAGUCAAAUGUUGCAUGAUCAUUAGCAGAAUACACAUUUUACACCAUGUAACAAACUCAGUAUUGAGAAAAGUUUUAACUUUUCAGGAGCAAAGUAUUACAGUAGAAGCAUUUAUUAUCCAUUUCUUCAAUCUUAAAUUGUACUUUAUGACAUUCAAAUCAGUCCCCAUUCAAACUGGAGAUGAACAGCACAUUUAUUUAUUUGAGUUACAAUGAGCAAGACAAGUAAACCUUACAACCAGAAAGGUAAUAAAGGGCUCAGCAGCUAAAA
Molecule: long non-coding RNA, 6503 nt
Organism: Pelodiscus sinensis (Chinese soft-shelled turtle)
Lineage: Eukaryota; Metazoa; Chordata; Testudines; Trionychidae
Source: RefSeq, a predicted model, not a curated record